CGUUCUCCACGCUUCCCUCGCCGCUCUCCUCGUCUGAACGGCGGCGGUAGCUAUGUUUAGAGAAAAAACCUGGAGUUCACCAGGCUGGCUGAAGUUGUGAGGCUGGGAGGCUGAUGGUGCUGCUACUGGCUGAUCCUUCUUCUUUCAGCUUUUGUUCGUCCUUUCUCAAGCCGUUGGACCAGGGCUACUUCCCUAUGUGUUGUUAAUGUAUUAAGUAGUUCCUUCGAAUUUGUAGUAUUAGUUAGUUUGAAUGUGGAAGUACCUUAAUUUUUAGGAACGAAAUGUUGCUUUGUAUGACCAAGGGUUUGAUACCUUAAUCUUUGGAUAAUUAAUUAUGUGAACUGUUGGA
This is a non-coding RNA of Aegilops tauschii subsp. strangulata, 349 nucleotides long. Lineage: Eukaryota; Viridiplantae; Streptophyta; Magnoliopsida; Poales; Poaceae. The record is from RefSeq and is a predicted model, not a curated record.